Molecule: long non-coding RNA, 281 nt
Organism: Alligator sinensis (Chinese alligator)
Lineage: Eukaryota; Metazoa; Chordata; Crocodylia; Alligatoridae
Exons: 3
Source: RefSeq, a predicted model, not a curated record
AGUGCCUGCAGAAAGACAUGCCUCAGUCACACUACCACAAGGGUGUUAAUGGAAGAAAGGAAAGACCCUUUAUCUGCCCUGGCAAGAGAAUAUGGAGGCUCCAAAAGAAAUGCCUUGCUGAAGUGGUGCCAGAAGAAAACAGAAGGAUAUCAGCUCACAAUACAGGAGGAAGCUGAAAGCCACAAAACAGGAUGGUUGACCAUCCAUAGGAAAAGUCAUCUUUCGGUACAAUGGAGAAGCUUGUGCUAUAAGCCCCAGGUGCCCCUCCCCCUCUUCCUGUG